ACGAACGCUGGCGGCGUGCUUAACACAUGCAAGUCGAGCGGUAAGGCCCUUUCGGGGGUACACGAGCGGCGAACGGGUGAGUAACACGUGGGUGACCUGCCCUCAGCUCUGGGAUAAGCCUGGGAAACCGGUCGUAUACUGGAUAUGACUCCAUGACGCAUGUUGUGGGGUGGAAAGCCUUGUGCGGCUGAGGAUGGGCCCGGCGGCCUAUCAGCUUGUUGGUGGGGUGAUGGCCUACCAAGGCGACGACGGGUAGCCGGCCUGAGAGGGC
Molecule: ribosomal RNA, 271 nt
Filed under: uncultured bacterium
Lineage: Bacteria
Description: partial 16S ribosomal RNA
Rfam family: Bacterial small subunit ribosomal RNA
Source: RNAcentral